CGACCGGCGCACGGUGAGUAACACGUAUCCAACCUGCCGUCUACUCUUGGCCAGCCUUCUGAAAGGAAGAUUAAUCCAGGAUGGGAUCAUGAGUUCACAUGUCCGCAUGAUUAAAGGUAUUUUCCGGUAGACGAUGGGGAUGCGUUCCGUUAGAUAGUAGGCGGGGUAACGGCCCACCUAGUCAACGAUGGAUAGGGGUUCUGAGAGGAAGGUCCCCCACAUUGGAACUGAGACACGGUCCAA
This 243-nucleotide ribosomal RNA is filed under the name uncultured bacterium. RNAcentral describes it as "partial 16S ribosomal RNA". It matches the Rfam family "Bacterial small subunit ribosomal RNA", at positions 92 to 334 of the family's 1533-position model. The record is from RNAcentral.